This 66-nucleotide transfer RNA is filed under the name Diplophos sp. MM-1999. RNAcentral's name for it is "tRNA-Cys". The record is from RNAcentral. Lineage: Eukaryota; Metazoa; Chordata; Actinopteri; Stomiiformes; Diplophidae.
AGCCCCGAGGUGUGACACGUCAGAUUGCAAACCUGAAGAAGCAGGCCUAACCGCCCGCCGGGGCUU